Non-coding RNA from Microcebus murinus (gray mouse lemur), 1374 nucleotides. The record is from RefSeq and is a predicted model, not a curated record. NCBI's taxonomy places the organism in Eukaryota, Metazoa, Chordata, Mammalia, Primates, Cheirogaleidae.
AUCUGUGUCUGCUCUGAGAGCCCUCCCCUGCUGAGGGCCUGGGGUCCUGGAGGAAGCAGGGUGAUGACCACAGGGAAGAGCCAGGAAUGCCAAUCUGCCUUCAAAAUUCAGCACAGACUGAGGAUCUCAAGAUUUCAUGCCCAGGGGCUGAAAGAAAUGCAGUUUACCAUAGCACAGAGUUCAGGUGCCUUGUUCCAGACCUACUUAGCAUUGGGACUUCCCUCAGGUCCUUUAGAUCUGCAGUCCCCAACUCCCAGGCAGUGGACCGGGACCAGUCUGCAGCCCGCCAGGCACCAGGCCACACAGCAGGAGGCCAGCAGGAACAUGAGUUUUUGAGUGAACUUUUUUUAGAAAUACAGCAUUUGCUAGAAGAGGAUGUUCAUAUUCUCUUAGUAUAACAUCAAGAAGCUGAAAGAAAUCAGAGACCUCUGGGAAAGAAGUGGCUUCAGAAUGUGCCCUUCAGGCUGCCAUCGACCUGACACCUAGCAACGUGUGGAGUCAGAAUGGAGCUGGAUUCUGGAACUCAGGCUGUGGGGUCCUCCUGCCAGGGGUCCUGCGGCUUCCCCCACCUCCACCCCCCAACUGGUGGCAGAAAAGCCCUCCCAAGUUGCCCCGGACCUGAUUAACUCCAGUGUGCUGAGAUGGCAAGGGGUGGCCAGAGCCCCGAGUGUCCUUUGCUGUCCCCCAUUGUACUGCAGUUGCCGAAGCCCAGAGCACCGACAGGAUUGCAGACAGCGGACGCUGUCCUUUCCGAUUCUCCAAUAGGGGCUCUUAUUUGAUGCUGUGGAAGAGAGAGGCAAGCGAGCUUUAGCUCUUCUGGAAAUCUUGACUCUUCAAGAUUGCUUCAAGUUGCUUGGCUCUUCUCUUCCAUGGAGUUAGCUACAGGCAAAUUCACAAUUUCACUCAAUGCUUGCAGGUUUCUACAGAGGUGAAUAGCUCAAAGGUGGCCAGUCUUCUGGGCUGGAGGCUGACGAAGGGAAGAGAUGGAGAAGUGCAACAGUGCCCUAUCACCCAGGAGCAAAGACACAUGGCCUUAGGGCCAAUGCACUCAGCCUGGUUCUGCCACUUAUAACAGAGGGAUCUGCUGCUAAUUGUUAACUUGGCUAAGUCUCAAUUUGCUCAUCUAUAAAAAUAAUGCCUGCUUCUCAGUUUCCGUGAAGGUUUGCUAUAAAGCGCCCAGCAGGCAGCUGGACAUAGUUGGUGGUUGGUGCAAAGUAGCUGCUGCCAGUCUGCUUAGGUUUCAUUCUGUGUAAGUCUCAUCUGGAACUGAUGUGCUGUUGGAUCCAUUCAACUGCUCUGUGAGCACAAGUUUAGUCGUUUCCCAGGAGCAUUUUAAUGUUCUAAAUUAAACCACUUAGUGUGUGUGGGAGCUAC